RNAcentral lists this ribosomal RNA (206 nucleotides) under uncultured Comamonadaceae bacterium. RNAcentral describes it as "partial 16S ribosomal RNA". It matches the Rfam family "Bacterial small subunit ribosomal RNA", at positions 568 to 774 of the family's 1533-position model. The record is from RNAcentral. Lineage: Bacteria; Pseudomonadati; Pseudomonadota; Betaproteobacteria; Burkholderiales; Comamonadaceae.
UGCGCAGGCGGUCUUGUAAGACAGAGGUGAAAUCCCCGGGCUCAACCUGGGAACUGCCUUUGUGACUGCAAGGCUGGAGUGCGGCAGAGGGGAUGGAAUUCCGCGUGUAGCAGUGAAAUGCGUAGAUAUGCGGAGGAACACCGAUGGCGAAGGCAAUCCCCUGGGCCUGCACUGACGCUCAUGCACGAAAGCGUGGGGAGCAAACA